RNAcentral lists this long non-coding RNA (201 nucleotides) under Musa acuminata (dwarf banana). RNAcentral's name for it is "long non-coding RNA (MACU_LNC009905)". Lineage: Eukaryota; Viridiplantae; Streptophyta; Magnoliopsida; Zingiberales; Musaceae. The record is from RNAcentral.
ACAAGAACAUACCACUCUGUAGCUUGGAAAGGAAUUUUAAAGGCAAGGAAUUGGCUAAUCAAACACAUUUCUUAUGCAAUCUCUUCUGAAACUAGUACUAAUAUGUGGUAUGAUCCUUGGGUGAAUGGGAAGAGUAUAUUUCAAUUAUAUGGCGAUAGAAUACGAAAAGAUCUUGGGGCUCCCAAAGAUUGGAAGGUUUUC